Molecule: long non-coding RNA, 327 nt
Filed under: Zea mays
Lineage: Eukaryota; Viridiplantae; Streptophyta; Magnoliopsida; Poales; Poaceae
Description: long non-coding RNA (ZMAY_LNC003642)
Source: RNAcentral
CUCGCCACAAGCUGGAUUACUGGAAAUACAGAUGAAGGAUGAGUAACGCUGAAAAGGUAUUACUGGCAACACAUGUCCUGGAAGCCUGAGUUCAGCUACGAUCAACCAUGGAGGGCACAUCACUUCCACUUCUUGAACUUGCCGCCGCCGAACAUGCCGUGCCCGUGCUUGCCAUGCUUGAACUUGCCGUGCCCGUGCUUGAACUUGCCGUGGUGGCCGUGACCAUGCUUGAACUUGCCGUGGCCACCAUACCCGUGGCCGUAACCACCGUGACCAUAGCCUCCAAAGGCCCCAUGUCCACCGUGUCCGCUAUGGCCAUGAGAAAGC